UACGUAGGGCGCAAGCGUUGUCCGGAAUUAUUGGGCGUAAAGAGCUCGUAGGCGGCCUGUCGCGUCUGCUGUGAAAUCCCGGGGCUCAACCCCGGGCCUGCAGUGGAUACGGGCAGGCUGGAGGCAGGCAGGGGAGAACGGAAUUCCCGGUGUAGCGGUGAAAUGCGCAGAUAUCGGGAGGAACACCGGUGGCGAAGGCGGUUCUCUGGGCCUGUACUGACGCUGAGGAGCGAAAGCGUGGGGAGCGAACAGG
This 253-nucleotide ribosomal RNA is filed under the name uncultured bacterium. Its description in RNAcentral is "partial 16S ribosomal RNA". It matches the Rfam family "Bacterial small subunit ribosomal RNA", at positions 524 to 776 of the family's 1533-position model. The record is from RNAcentral.